UACGUAGGGUGCGAGCGUUAAUCGGAAUUACUGGGCGUAAAGCGUGCGCAGGCGGUUCGUUAAGUCAGAUGUGAAAGCCCCGGGCUCAACCUGGGAACUGCAUUUGAAACUGGCGGGCUUGAGUGUGGCAGAGGGGGGUGGAAUUCCGCGUGUGGCAGUGAAAUGCGUAGAGAUGCGGAGGAACACCGAUGGCGAAGGCAGCCCCCUGGGCCAACACUGACGCUCAGGCACGAAAGCGUGGGGAGCAAACAGG
This 253-nucleotide ribosomal RNA is filed under the name uncultured bacterium. RNAcentral describes it as "partial 16S ribosomal RNA". It matches the Rfam family "Bacterial small subunit ribosomal RNA", at positions 524 to 776 of the family's 1533-position model. The record is from RNAcentral.